CGUUUCACAAUCUGUGGUAGAGAUGUUAUCUAAGAACGUCCAGAUCAUUAUUCACUAUGAGGAUUAUGUAUUCGUCGAAUUCUCUGUUUCUUAUUAUUGUGAUGAAGCUCAUUGUGAAGUGUUUGAUUCGCCUCGGCACAUAAUAUGGUUA
Molecule: long non-coding RNA, 151 nt
Organism: Telopea speciosissima
Lineage: Eukaryota; Viridiplantae; Streptophyta; Magnoliopsida; Proteales; Proteaceae
Exons: 3
Source: RefSeq, a predicted model, not a curated record